Molecule: ribosomal RNA, 900 nt
Filed under: Aspergillus leucocarpus
Lineage: Eukaryota; Fungi; Ascomycota; Eurotiomycetes; Eurotiales; Aspergillaceae
Description: LSU rRNA
Rfam family: Eukaryotic large subunit ribosomal RNA
Source: RNAcentral
CAAUAAGCGGAGGAAAAGAAACCAACCGGGAUUGCCUCAGUAACGGCGAGUGAAGCGGCAAGAGCUCAAAUUUGAAAUCUGGCCCCUCCGGGGUCCGAGUUGUAAUUUGUAGAGGAUGCUUCGGGUGCGGCCCCUGUCUAAGUGCCCUGGAACGGGCCAUCGGAGAGGGUGAGAAUCCCGUCUGGGAUGGGGUGUCCGCGCCCAUGUGAAGCUCCUUCGACGAGUCGAGUUGUUUGGGAAUGCAGCUCUAAAUGGGUGGUAAAUUUCAUCUAAAGCUAAAUACUGGCCGGAGACCGAUAGCGCACAAGUAGAGUGAUCGAAAGAUGAAAAGCACUUUGAAAAGAGAGUUAAACAGCACGUGAAAUUGUUGAAAGGGAAGCGCUUGCGACCAGACUCGCUCCUGGGGUUCAGCCGGCUUUCGGGCCGGUGUACUUCCCCGGGGGCGGGCCAGCGUCGGUUUGGGCGGCCGGUUAAAGGCCCCUGGAAUGUAACGCCCCUCGGGGCGCCUUAUAGCCAGGGGUGUCAUGCGGCCAGCCUGGACCGAGGAACGCGCUUCGGCACGGACGCUGGCAUAAUGGUCGCAAACGACCCGUCUUGAAACACGGACCAAGGAGUCUAACAUCUACGCGAGUGUUCGGGUGUCAAACCCGUGCGCGCAGUGAAAGCGAACGGAGGUGGGAGCCCCCUCGAGGGGCGCACCAUCGACCGAUCCUGAUGUCUUCGGAUGGAUUUGAGUAGGAGCGUAGCUGUGGGGACCCGAAAGAUGGUGAACUAUGCCUGAAUAGGGCGAAGCCAGAGGAAACUCUGGUGGAGGCUCGCAGCGGUUCUGACGUGCAAAUCGAUCGUCAAAUUUGGGUAUAGGGGCGAAAGACUAAUCGAACCAUCUGGUAGCUGGUCUGC